Dermacentor silvarum is the source of this 2025-nucleotide long non-coding RNA. RefSeq lists it as uncharacterized. Lineage: Eukaryota; Metazoa; Arthropoda; Arachnida; Ixodida; Ixodidae. The record is from RefSeq and is a predicted model, not a curated record. The transcript is spliced from 4 exons.
CGAACAAACAGGUUCAUACUGGGCACUGGCACCAAACAGGGGCCUAUUUGGCCCGCAGGCAGGUUUUAACAGGAAACUCCGACACAGAAAUGGGUCUAAACAGGGGACCCGUUUGGUAGUUAAACCAGUUAAACUGGCUCAUAGUGGUCCCACUUGCACCAAAAAGGUCUACUUGUAGCUGUCAUGCUCGAUUUAAUGCUUGAACUAUUUACGGUAAAAUUCGAUUUGAAAUUGGUACACACGAGCGAGCGCUCCGCAACACCCCAACGACAGCCGCUUCGCGUCGGCGCCGGGGCACAACCAACGGCGCUGCCAAACACAGAGAAAAAAAAAGAAAGAAAAGGUUAAUAAAUAAGAAGAAAAAAAAACAAAAACAAAUAAGCCAAAACGGGAUUUAAACCCGCGUACCGCAGAUCCCAUGGCAAGCGUCGUAACCACUCGGCCACGCAGCCCCGCAGAUCCGGCGAUUGCUGUCCUCACUAUUGAAAGGAACGUGGCUGGAACCCGCCGUAUAAGAUGCAUGAUAUCGAAAUACUACCACAGAACACCCAUACAAACUACCACAUACUACGUCGUCACGAUACAUGCGGUCACCAAAGGGCCGAAAGUGGGCAAAAGCACGAAAGCAUGGUCGCUUUCGGUGCCCCCAGGAGGCGCUGCCACUGCCCCAGGGGCAUGACCGUGCUGUUGCUGCCUGUUGCUGUGUGUGCGCGCUGCAUUCAGGCAGGUCGAUGUGGAUGUUUAAUCGUGUGUACGCUGUGCCGAGAGAAAAUGUCGUGCCCCUUGUGUGCUUUGAUGAUCACCUAACCCCUGGGACCGCGUAACGUAGCUCGCAGUACCUUUCGCGUAGUUCGCCGAUGUCGAUUAUCGUAGUUAUGGCCCGCUUGCGCUUUCUUUGUUCCCGGCCUCUGAUAAUAUCGCAUCGGAUCACAGUGCACGGAACAAUUUGUUGAGCUAUUACGUGCUGUAGUUCAUCCGCAAUUCAACAGUGUUUACGUCGGAAGGAUCGUCGUGCAGUCGACGCCGCGACCUGACAUGAAGGAGAGUUUGCCGACUACGCCUAGAAAGGGAUGUCAAGAUUUCGUGAACCAGAGGCACCGCAUAGGAACCUAAGACAUUUCUGCAGCCGGAACAGCACAGCAAAGCAUCUGAUCUGCAUGCUGCGACAAGGUAUGGCUGGGCCUGGUGAUGAAGUGUAAGCAGAACAUGCUAUGCUGCGAAUUGGUGCCAAUCUUCACAUCCGAGUUGUUCCCACGACAGUCAAGCACCACUGUGAUUUGCUUCAUUGGCAAGGUGCCCUGCAAGCUCUCACCAAAGCAACACAUUCCACUGGUUUUCUGUCAGAGUACCAUUAUAGAAUUUCGAAUAAACUAUGCUUGUCAGAUGUGUGACAUGCCCCGUCUUAAAAUCAGAGCGCUUCAGUAAUAAUGUUUGAAUGGGUGUACAUAAAAACACACGUAAAGUAUACUUAUGUAUUUCUUUUACAAGUCCUCUUCACCCGACGUUUUUCCAACUUAAAAUUACGCUUUGCUGUACAUUUGUUUUAUGCACAAACCAUUACAGCAACACAACACUGCAGUAAAAUGAGUACAAAUGAUAAAGCAUGCAGUACACCUGCAAGAAUUACAUUUGCAUACUUGUAGUACAUAUGAAAAUGAGCUACCGAUCUUUUUCAGGUUGCAUACUCUUAUAGGUCAUACAUGUCAAGCGCACUCAUAGGUCACACAAAACUCGUUCAAGGCUGAUCUCAAAUCUCAGUGACUUAUGUUAAGUGACAUCGGACCAGUCUAAAGAAACCUGGCUCAAAUAGGGAAAUAAGUAGGUUCGAACAGGGUCAAAUGGGAGUGGACUAAACGGGGACAAACAGGUCUGGGCUAAAUGGGUUCAAACGGGGGCAAACAGGUCUGGGCUAAAUGGGUUCAAACGGGGACAAACAGGUCUGGGCUAAAUGGGUUCAAACGGGGACAAACAGGUCUGGGCUAAAUGGGUUCAAACGGGGUCCCGUUCCAUAAUCCUAUUUGAUGA